AGUGAACGCUGGCGGUAGGCCUAACACAUGCAAGUCGAACGGCAGCACAGUAAGAGCUUGCUCUUACGGGUGGCGAGUGGCGGACGGGUGAGGAAUACAUCGGAAUCUACUUUUUCGUGGGGGAUAACGUAGGGAAACUUACGCUAAUACCGCAUACGACCUACGGGUGAAAGCAGGGGAUCUUCGGACCUUGCGCGAUUGAAUGAGCCGAUGUCGGAUUAGCUAGUUGGCGGGGUAAAGGCCCACCAAGGCGACGAUCCGUAGCUGGUCUGAGAGGAUGAUCAGCCACACUGGAACUGAGACACGGUCCAGACUCCUACGGGAGGCAGCAGUGGGGAAUAUUGGACAAUGGGCGCAAGCCUGAUCCAGCCAUACCGCGUGGGUGAAGAAGGCCUGCGGGUUGUAAAGCCCUUUUGUUGGGAAGAAAAGCAGCAGGUUAAUACCCCGCUGUUCUGACGGUACCCAAAGAAUAAGCACCGGCUAACUUCGUG
RNAcentral lists this ribosomal RNA (491 nucleotides) under uncultured bacterium. RNAcentral describes it as "partial 16S ribosomal RNA". It matches the Rfam family "Bacterial small subunit ribosomal RNA", at positions 29 to 507 of the family's 1533-position model. The record is from RNAcentral.